This 457-nucleotide ribosomal RNA is filed under the name uncultured bacterium. Its description in RNAcentral is "bacterial SSU rRNA". It matches the Rfam family "Bacterial small subunit ribosomal RNA", at positions 29 to 506 of the family's 1533-position model. The record is from RNAcentral.
ACGAACGCUAGCGGCGUGCCUAAGGUAUGCAAGUCGAGCGGACCGGAGCAAUCCGGUUAGCGGCAAACGGUUGAGUAACACGUAGACAACCUGCCCGGAAGACGGGGAUAACUCGGGGAAACUCGGGCUAAUACCGGAUGUGGAAUCGCGGGGCAUCCCGCGUUCUCUAAAUGGAGCAAUCCGCUUCCGGAUGGGUCUGCGGCCUAUCAGCUUGUUGGUGGGGUAACGGCCCACCAAGGCGACGACGGGUAGCUGGUCUGAGAGGAUGACCAGCCAGACGGGGACUGAGACACGGCCCCGACUCCUUCGGGAGGCAGCAAUGAGGAAUAUUGCACAAUGGGCGAAAGCCUGAUGCAGCGACGCCGCGUGGGUGAUGAAGUUCUUCGGAAUGUAAAGCCCUUUUGCAGGGGACGAAAAAAAUGACGGUACCCUGCGAAUAAGCCCCGGCUAACUACGU